CUACGGGGGGCUCCAGUCGAGAAUUUUUCACAAUGGGGGAAACCCUGAUGGAGCGACGCCGCGUGGAGGAUGACGGUUUUCGGAUUGUAAACUCCUGUCAUUAGAGAACAAGGCACACGGUUUAACUGGCCGUGUGUUGAUAGUAUCUGAAGAGGAAGAGACGGCUAACUCUGUGCCAGCAGCCGCGGUAAUACAGAGGUCUCAAGCGUUGUUCGGAUUCAUUGGGCGUAAAGGGUGCGUAGGUGGCGAUGUAAGUCGGAUGUGAAAUCUCCAAGCUUAACUUGGAAACUGCAUUCGAUACUGCGUUGCUCGAGGACUGUAGAGGGCAUUGGAAUUCACGGUGUAGCAGUGAAAUGCGUAGAUAUCGUGAGGAAGACCAGUGGCGAAGGCGAAUGCCUGGGCAGUUCCUGACACUGAGGCACGAAGGCCAGGGGAGCAAACGGGAUUAGAUACCCGCGUAGUC
This 463-nucleotide ribosomal RNA is filed under the name uncultured bacterium. RNAcentral's name for it is "partial 16S ribosomal RNA". It matches the Rfam family "Bacterial small subunit ribosomal RNA", at positions 339 to 795 of the family's 1533-position model. The record is from RNAcentral.